CCCGCCUCCCCGGACCGCGGGGCUGAGCGGAAAGGGAGCGCGGGGGGCGCGCGCGUGGAUAGGCUGAGCGCGCCGCGCAAUCACGUGACACCGCACGCGACCCCCGGUAGAACCGUGGUACUUUAAUGAGCCCCGUACAGCGCGCGCCGCCGCAGCGUCUCAGCGCCCGCCCCGCGCGGCCCCUCCUCAGAGGUCGGCGCGAGCGCCCGCCGCCCUCGGCGCGUACUUGGGCAUCAGUUCGUGGAUCCUGCGGAUGAAGUCGGAUUUCUCGGCGCAGCCCUUGCACGCCUCGCCCCAGUCGUCGAGGAUCCGCCGCAGCUCCUUGACGCGCAGCUUGCGCAGGUCGGCGGUGCUCAGGUCGAUCUGUUUGUCUGCGGGGAGAGCAGAGCCGCGCUCAGCACGGAGCGCCGGGGGGUUCCGGCGGCGUCACCGCGCGGCGCGGCGGGCGGCACAGCGCUGAGCUGCAGAGCUCCGCGGCGACCCCGAAAGCCCCCUUCGCCGCAGCGCUGCGGCUGUCCUCCGCGGGACGGAAAGGGCGGUGGGGUCAGCGCGGAGGAAAGGCGGCGGUGACAGCGACGGAGGGCUGGCUGGGAAGCUACGGGGCGUUAGUGCAAGAAACGAGGAGUGCAGCAACCACAGCCCGGCGUGGCUGUGUCCAGGGGAUGUAAGGGCAGAGGGACGGCAGGCAGAAGGCACUUCCGUGGCCGUUCUUCACAUCAGUCUUCUCGGGAGGAGCACAUCAGCACGGAACACGAGCUCGAGGAGGGUGGUGAGAAACAGGACAGGCGACAAAGCAGCGCCCAUCGAUGCCAGCAGCGCCGGCACAGCCCAGCAGCCCUGCCAUGAGCUCAGCAGGCACCAUCGCAGCCCAGGCGUACUGCGUGCUGUCCUCACGGCCGUUAUUCCAACAGGGCUUUGAGCACAGCACUGCUGGCGCCUGGGAGGUCGAGCAGUGGUUCUGCGGGAGCUAAAGGGGUUAGCAGCCAGCAGCCCCACCUGAGCAUCCCCAUACAGCUGUGCAGGAUAUUCACAGACAACAGCCCAGCUUGUGCAACUACCCAGGCUGGUGACCUCCACGACUUCAGCAUGCUUUUACCCACAGUGAUGCAGUAUCCCAGGAAGGUGCAUCCAUUUUCCCCUUCUGGCAACUCACCGUAUUUCAGCUCGCAGAUCUGACUGUCUUUCUUCUUCAGUUUCUCGCAGAUCUUUUCCACGGGGAUGUGGUGACUCAUGGGUUUGGAAACCUCGUUAAUAAUUUUGGUGGCUGCAUCACUUGUGGCCCCAAUGUAAUAGCACUAAAGGGAAGAAAAAAAGCGAGGUGGAAAUGCAUGGAAACGCUCUUCUAAAUGUUCUUCUAUCCAUCUCUUUGCAGUUUGAUGUUUACAGUUAGAGAGCUUUCCAAGGGACUGCCAUAGGAGGGCAAAAGAAAGCCUGACUGUGAGCCAAGGGUCACUUCUCACACUGCUUCCCACUUUCCAGCACUGCCUUGCUGCUGCCUUGUUUUUAACAACUUGAAUUGGAUUACUGCAGCUUUCUUUGUUAGGGGACAAAGACUUUCGGAGGCAUUGCCCCCCUUUGUCUAUGGGUGUCCUUCUGCAGUCCUCUUCUUAGGAGAGCUCACCUGGUUUUACUUUAGGGCAGUUUGGUUUUCCUACAGCUGAACAGCUGAAAAGUGUCAAACAUUUUAACAGUUUAUGUAACACUCCAAAUGCAGGCUGACAGAGAAGUCCCACAGCAAAUAAAAGCUCUGUAAUUCCAAGCCCUUUGGUAACAGGGAGAAAUAAGGUCAGCAGCAAGACGUCUGUUGACAGAUAUAUCUGUAUGUUUAAAGUGAACUUCAUACAACAAGGUCAUACUCCCUGUCUCCUUUGCAACAAUGAAAAAUUACACGACCAGUUGUGGCCACAGAGCCAGGAAGCACAGCCCCCAGGGAGGGACGUCAUACAAACACAGAAGUGCUAGUUUCCCCUUGUUUGCCAAGCGUUCUACAACUUAUUUCCUCCAGAGUCAAUGUUGACGACUACUUACCAACCGGUUCUCUUUGCCUUUUGCCUCUCUGCAGGAUUUCAUGAGCUCCUUUUCAAUACUGGCGGGCGUGAACUCAACAUUGUUGUCCUUUAGACUCUGGUAGAACCUCCCCAGGAAGGUGACACACACCUCGCACUCCCCGUCGCGCAGCGCCCGGCUGCCGGCCGGCAGCAGGAGCAGGGCCAGCGUCGCCCAGAGCCCGUGGGCCGCCCGCAUCCCGCCUCGCUCGGCGCCCGCCACACCGGUACCGGCACCGCCGCCCCCGCGCGCCGCCGGUUCCCCCCCGCCGCUGCCCCCAUUGGCCCGCUCCCCGCCCGGCUUCCACGCCGCCUCCUCCCAUUGGCCAACCCGCGGCCUCCACGGGAGAGUUGGCGGCCGCUGAUUGGAGGAGGCGGCGAGCGGCGGGUUUCCCCGCCUCCCUCGGCCGCCAUUUUUGUUAAGGGAAAGUUGCCCUCGAAGGCUUCGCGCCGGCGGCUCGCGGGCGCCAUCUUGUGGAGGGGCAGAUCCUCACACCUCAGCAAGGGGGGGUGUUCGUGUGUGAGAAUUUGAGACAAAGUGCGAGGGGGGUUUUGCAAGGCCGGUAGUUUGAGGUACACUUCAGGUACACUUCAACGUUACCUCCCUUUUCAGUUCUGCAUGUGGAAACGGCUCAUGGUCAGAGAUGGGGAGCCAUUACAGAGAUGCAGGUGCUGGCUGAACUACUUAAAUUGCUUGUUUUUACACUGAUAACCACCAAAGCUAGGAUUGAGGUUGUUUCUAAGCCCACGGUUUCUAUCGCCAAAGUAUUUGACAUGGGAAAAAAAAAUAGGGGAAACAUAGCAAUGAAUGGGUGAAUUUUGUUUUUGUGAUGGUUUGGGUGGGCUAAUAGAGCAAAGGGAGAAAGUGAGCCAGGUAGGGCUAACAGGAGCUGGAAUACGGUCAGCUCUUGGAUGGUGGUUUGCUAAGAAGCUUGUAAAAAGGGAGAAAGGGCAACAUGAAUUACAGCAGUAAGAAGAAAACCUGUAGAUCUUUGAGAAUUGGGCUAUAGUUUGUAUGUGUGUAUUAAAAAAUUGUGCGUGUGUUUAUCAUUCCAAACACUGUCCGUGCAUUGUCCUAGCAAUGCUAAUGCACCUACAGAUGUGAAUAGGAAAAUAAAAUGAAGUGCUCACUGUAUGCCUAAAGUUCAUUAGCUGUGCAGUGGUCUAAUGAAAUUGCUGUACGACUAAUGGUAUGUAUAGCAGAUAAUGUAAAGUAAACCUGUGUCGGUACCAGUGGUAAAUAUGUGAAUGAAGUCCAGGAAUUCACACGUUCAGAGAAUCCCUUACUUUUGGUUGCCUGCAGUAUGUGACUGUCAAGUCAGUGGCUGAAGAAGCUGAGUGGUUGUUGGUCUGGAAUAUGGUAUUCUUUUCCAGCUAAAUAGAGAUUGGUAGUAAUUAAUACACGAUCACUUAGGUACAGUGUGGUUCUUGUGGUGAGACAGCAUGAAGGUUACUUUAAUGGUUGCAGGGAUGAAGGUAAUCUGCAGGAUUUAGUGUAAGCCUCUUGGAUGCUGAUACUCCUGCUUAAGUGCUAAGGAGUAAACUGCUUGGGGCGUGCGAGGACCCUGCCUGGGUUCAGCUGCCAGGUGGUGGGAGACACAUUGGGAGUGCCUGCCCUUGUUUCAGCUCUGGGGAAGGCCAGCAGUAGGUAAAAGAGAAUACUCUGUAACAUAUUAUUUAUACCCUAUUUGGGGCUUCAUUGCUGGAAAGCAGUGGCCAAACUCUCCCAAAGCUGUAGCUAUUGUAUAGGUACAGUAUGAAGUCACGAGCAGUGAGUUGUGCUACAUUCACACCUGUGAAUGGUUUACACACAGACAGCAAAGAAGCUGGGAUUUGUGACAGCUGGUUCUUUUCAGUUACUCAAAUCCAGCUGCCUGAAUGACACGGACAGGUGCUACAAUCUGAGCCUGGGUUUUCUUAAGCUGGCUCUAGGAAUAAAUGCAUAUUUGUACAGAGGCAAGAGCAGCUGAAUCUUUGUGGACUGGAUUAUCUUAUUUGCUAGAGGUUUGAUUUCUCCUCUUACCAACUUUUGUGUAACUCAGUACCAAAGAAACUUUCUUCCUUGGAUCAGGUGAAGAUUUGGCUGGGCUAUGUACAUUUGAAUGUGAUAGCGUGGCUUAAAGUGUCUGGCUUGCACUCAAAUGCUGCUUCUUUUGGCUUUAAUGGAAAUUUUAACUUAAGGCUGAAGGCUUUUUGUGUUGAACUCUUUUCAUUUCCCACAAUUCAUUAACAGAUGCUUUUAGCUGAAUAAUAAUAAACAUAUAUAUUAAACUGAGAUUUGCUAAGUUGGGUUAGAAGUGACUCAGGGUCUGCUUUAUACAGACAUCCUCCAGGUGCCAGCUAAGCCACGUUUUGGUAUUUCAGAUGUACUACCAUGGACAACUACGUUCUUA
Molecule: long non-coding RNA, 4438 nt
Filed under: Gallus gallus (chicken)
Lineage: Eukaryota; Metazoa; Chordata; Aves; Galliformes; Phasianidae
Source: RNAcentral